UCCAUACCUAGAAUAUUUGGACUAAACUAAAAUUGAGAUAAUAGAGACUAGCAUGGUCCCUGCGGAAAGGUGACAUGCAAAUUUGCGAAGCAUUCCAUAUUUUU
This is a small nuclear RNA of Sorex araneus (European shrew), 104 nucleotides long. Lineage: Eukaryota; Metazoa; Chordata; Mammalia; Eulipotyphla; Soricidae. The record is from Ensembl.